Molecule: long non-coding RNA, 233 nt
Filed under: Medicago truncatula (barrel medic)
Lineage: Eukaryota; Viridiplantae; Streptophyta; Magnoliopsida; Fabales; Fabaceae
Description: lncRNA gene42374
Source: RNAcentral
AUGGUUAGACAACAACAAAAUGCAGUUGCUACAGUGCACGAGGAUGACCACGGAAAACAAUGUCUCUAUUCAGAGAUAUUUUUAAACUUAGGUGUUAUUCAGUGAUAUGAUAUGAUUUCAUCACAUGUGCUGGAUGAUUUCACUCAACAUCACAAUUUUCAACAUUAGUUAAUUUAAUGAAGGUUUACAUUAUUAUCAUUAUCACUACCAUCUUUAAUUAUUAAUUUAAUCAU